AGUGAACGCUGGCGGUAGGCCUAACACAUGCAAGUCGAACGGCAGCACAGUAAGAGCUUGCUCUUACGGGUGGCGAGUGGCGGACGGGUGAGGAAUACAUCGGAAUCUACUUUUUCGUGGGGGAUAACGUAGGGAAACUUACUCUAAUACCGCAUACGACCUACGGGUGAAAGCAGUGGAUCUUCGCACCUUGCGCGAUUGAACGAGCCGAUGUCGGAUUAGCUAGUUGGCGGGGUAAAGGCCCACCAAGGCGACGAUCCGUAGCUGGUCUGAGAGGAUGAUCAGCCACACUGGAACUGAGACACGGUCCAGACUCCUACGGGAGGCAGCAGUGGGGAAUAUUGGACAAUGGGCGCAAGCCUGAUCCAGCCAUACCGCGUGGGUGAAGAAGGCCUUCGGGUUGUAAAGCCCUUUUGUUGGGAAAGAAAAGCAGCAGGUUAAUACCCCGCUGUUCUGACGGUACCCAAAGAAUAAGCACCGGCUAACUUCGUG
Molecule: ribosomal RNA, 492 nt
Filed under: uncultured bacterium
Lineage: Bacteria
Description: partial 16S ribosomal RNA
Rfam family: Bacterial small subunit ribosomal RNA
Source: RNAcentral